UACGGAGGGUGCAAGCGUUGUCCGGAUUUAUUGGGUUUAAAGGGUGCGUAGGCGGUUUGGUAAGUCGGCGAUGAAAGCCCGGGGCUCAACCCCGGAACUGUCGUCGAUACUGUCGAACUUGAGUACGGUUGAGGCUGGCGGAAUGGGCGGUGUAGCGGUGAAAUGCAUAGAUACCGUCCAGAACCCCGAUUGCGAAGGCAGCUGGCUAAGCCGUAACUGACGCUGAGGCACGAAAGCGUGGGGAGCGAACAGG
This 253-nucleotide ribosomal RNA is filed under the name uncultured bacterium. Its description in RNAcentral is "partial 16S ribosomal RNA". It matches the Rfam family "Bacterial small subunit ribosomal RNA", at positions 524 to 776 of the family's 1533-position model. The record is from RNAcentral.